UAUCCAAAGUGGCAAACCUUCGUGAAGCCGUUGAAAAAACCGGAAGGUAAGAAAAAUCUUGAUUUCCACAAUGCUCAGGCGGCGGCUAGAAAAGAUGUGGAGAGAGCAUUUGGGAUUUUGCAAGCCCAAUUUGCUAUUGUGAGAGGACCGGCAAGAUUUUGGGAUCAAAAAAUGCUUUGGUACAUCAUGCACGCUUGUGUGAUCAUGCACAACAUGAUCAUCGAGAAUGAGCGUGGCCAAGAUUUAGACUACUCACAGUAUGAGCUCUUGGGACAUCCCGUGCGAGUGCGGCGGAGGGCUGAAAGGGUAGCCCGUUUUGUUGCCUCCUAUCAUGCCAUUCGGCGUCCCGCAACGCACAAGGAACUUCAGAAUGAUCUAAUUGAAGAGUGG
RNAcentral lists this ribosomal RNA (390 nucleotides) under Triticum aestivum (bread wheat). RNAcentral describes it as "partial small subunit ribosomal RNA". Lineage: Eukaryota; Viridiplantae; Streptophyta; Magnoliopsida; Poales; Poaceae. The record is from RNAcentral.